This 403-nucleotide ribosomal RNA is filed under the name uncultured bacterium. Its description in RNAcentral is "partial 16S ribosomal RNA". It matches the Rfam family "Bacterial small subunit ribosomal RNA", at positions 28 to 526 of the family's 1533-position model. The record is from RNAcentral.
GACGAACGCUGGCGGCGUGCCUAAUACAUGCAAGUCGAACGCAGUGGGGACGGGUGAGUAACACGUGGGUAACCUCCCAUCAGAGGGGAUAACACUUGGAAACAGGUGCUAAACCGAUACUGAUGGAUGGACCCGCGGUGCAUUAGCUAUGUGGGGAGGUAACGGCGCACCAAGGCCACGGUGCAUAGCCGACCUGAUAGGGUGAUCGGCAAAACUGGGACGGAGACACGGCCCAGACUCCUACGGUAGGCAGCAGUAGUGAAUCUGCGGAAAUGGACGAAAGUCUGACCGAGAAACGCCGCGUGAGUGAAGAAGGUUUUCGGAUCGUAAAACUCUUUUGUUAUAGAAGCGGUAUCUAACCAGAAAGCCACGGCUAACUACGUGCCAGCAGCCACGGUAAUUC